This 110-nucleotide ribosomal RNA is filed under the name Chinchilla lanigera (long-tailed chinchilla). The record is from RNAcentral. Lineage: Eukaryota; Metazoa; Chordata; Mammalia; Rodentia; Chinchillidae.
GUCUAUGGCUGUACCACCCUGAACACACCUGAUCUUGUCUGAUUUUGGAAGCUAAGCAGGGUCGGGCUUGGUUAGUACUUGGAUGGGAGAAGAAUCUACAACACUCCACC